AGAGUUUGAUCCUGGCUCAGAGUGAACGCUGGCGGCAGGCCUAACACAUGCAAGUCGAGCGGCAGCGCAGCAGUAGCAAUACUGUGGGCGGCGAGCGGCGGACGGGUGAGGAAUACAUCGGAAUCUACCUUCUUGUGGGGGAUAACGUAGGGAAACUUACGCUAAUACCGCAUAAGACCUGAGGGUGAAAGCGGGGGACCGCAAGGCCUCGCGCGAGAAGAUGAGCCGAUGUCGGAUUAGCUAGUUGGUGGGGUAAAGGCCCACCAAGGCGACGAUCCGUAGCUGGUCUGAGAGGAUGAUCAGCCACACUGGAACUGAGACACGGUCCAGACUCCUACGGGAGGCAGCAGUGGGGAAUAUUGGACAAUGGGCGCAAGCCUGAUCCAGCCAUGCCGCGUGUGUGAAGAAGGCCUUCGGGUUGUAAAGCACUUUUGUUGGGGAAGAAAAGAUCGCGGUUAAUAACCGCGGUUCAUGACGGUACCCAAAGAAUAAGCACCGGCUAACUUCGUGCCAGCAGCCGCGGUAAUACGAAGGGUGCAAGCGUUACUCGGAAUUACUGGGCGUAAAGCGUGCGUAGGCGGUUUGUUAAGUCUGCCGUGAAAGCCCCGGGCUCAACCUGGGAAUUGCGGUGGAUACUGGCAGGCUAGAGUGCGGUAGAGGGUGGUGGAAUUCCCGGUGUAGCAGUGAAAUGCGUAGAGAUCGGGAGGAACAUCUAUGGCGAAGGCAGCCACCUGGACCAGCACUGACGCUGAGGCACGAAAGCGUGGGGAGCAAACAGGAUUAGAUACCCCUGGUAGUCC
RNAcentral lists this ribosomal RNA (800 nucleotides) under uncultured bacterium. RNAcentral's name for it is "bacterial SSU rRNA". It matches the Rfam family "Bacterial small subunit ribosomal RNA", at positions 8 to 796 of the family's 1533-position model. The record is from RNAcentral.